UACGUGUCGUCGUAUUACGCUUCGAAACGCGAUCGGAGAUACCGGAAAACGUGAGUAUUUUGUAUAAUUAUUAUAAAUAGGGAUUAUAUUAGCCCGCGUGAGUAAUUGUUUUUCGUGUUUAACGACUUGUAAACGUAACAAGGCGACGACCGUUUAUUGUGGUAAGUGAAGUUAGGGUUAGAUUGAGUUAUUUCGUGCGCUGUAUCUUAUUUCAAGAAGGAAUGAAACGGACGAGGAUGGGAAUUAUAGAAUCAUCAUACGAUCAUAGUUUUCGCGUCGUUCUCUUGCAAUAUAUUAAAGUGCGUGUCGCGCAUAUAUAUAAUUAACAUCGGGAGUGUCGUGCAGAUCGUAAUUAAUCGUAUUUCCGGGAAUGUUGCGCGAGUGCCAAUGCCAUACAAGAGCAGUAAAAGAUAUAGAUAUAAAAGAGGAAAAUGGUCAGAAAACGUCGGGCAACAACACAGCAAUCAUAAGAUCAACGUACAUUAUACUACCGCUAUUAGGCAUCGUUCA
Molecule: long non-coding RNA, 510 nt
Organism: Formica exsecta
Lineage: Eukaryota; Metazoa; Arthropoda; Insecta; Hymenoptera; Formicidae
Exons: 2
Source: RefSeq, a predicted model, not a curated record